This 497-nucleotide ribosomal RNA is filed under the name uncultured bacterium. RNAcentral's name for it is "partial 16S ribosomal RNA". It matches the Rfam family "Bacterial small subunit ribosomal RNA", at positions 28 to 507 of the family's 1533-position model. The record is from RNAcentral.
GAUGAACGCUGGCGGCGUGCCUAAUACAUGCAAGUCGAGCGAACAGAUGAGGAGCUUGCUCCUCUGACGUUAGCGGCGGACGGGUGAGUAACACGUGGAUAACCUACCUAUAAGACUGGGAUAACUUCGGGAAACCGGAGCUAAUACCGGAUAAUAUAUUGAACCGCAUGGUUCAAUAGUGAAAGACGGUUUUGCUGUCACUUAUAGAUGGAUCCGCGCCGCAUUAGCUAGUUGGUGAGGUAACGGCUUAGCAAGGCAACGAUGCGUAGCCGACCUGAGAGGGUGAUCGGACACACUGGAACUGAGACACGGUCCAGACUCCUACGGGAGGCAGCAGUAGGGAAUCUUCCGCAAUGGGCGAGAGCCUGACGGAGCAACGCCGCGUGAGUGAUGAAGGUCUUCGGAUCGUAAAACUCUGUUAUUAGGGAAGAACAAAUGUGUAAGUAACUAUGCACGUCUUGACGGUACCUAAUCAGAAAGCCACGGCUAACUACGUG